Triplophysa rosa is the source of this 450-nucleotide long non-coding RNA. RefSeq lists it as uncharacterized. The record is from RefSeq and is a predicted model, not a curated record. NCBI's taxonomy places the organism in Eukaryota, Metazoa, Chordata, Actinopteri, Cypriniformes, Nemacheilidae. The transcript is spliced from 3 exons.
AGAACGAGUAGUACUAGCAAAUGCCAAUAGUGAUAUUCUAUCGCUGUUCUUCAAACCUUUUCAGAGCACAGUCUGGAAGGAAAACAGUUUCCCAUAAUGCAAUGGGCUUCACUUGAAAAUGCUGCAUAUUUAUGAGAUGAUAAAUGGCUACCUUCCAUCGAAUGAAACGUGAAACAUUAUGAUGACAUGUGACAUCAUGACAUUCUGUAGAGUUUCUCUCGUCAGAUGAAGCAGCUAAACAAGGUCUUCUGGAUUCUUUGAGAAUUACAGACAGGUGUGAUGUACCUGAACCCUACAGGACAGCGGCCCACGGGACAGGAACUCACGUCAUACUGUUCACAUACUGGUCACAGGUCACCGUGGGGUCAAAGGGUAGACAGGUCACAGCAGAUGACCAUUCAAAGCAGGGCAGCUCGACACCGUGACGACAGUUCGGACAGAGAACGGCAC